UGGGGAAUCUUGCGCAAUGCGCGAAAGCGUGACGCAGCAACGCCGCGUGGGGGAAGAAGGCCUUCGGGUUGUAAACCCCUUUCAGGAGGGACGAAGCCAGGGCGGUGAACAGCCGUUCCUGGUGACGGUACCUCCAGAAGAAGCCCCGGCUAACUACGUGCCAGCAGCCGCGGUAAUACGUAGGGGGCAAGCGUUGUCCGGAAUCAUUGGGCGUAAAGAGCGCGUAGGCGGUCCGGUCAGUCCGCUGUGAAAGUCAAGGGCUCAACCCUUGAAUGCCGGCGGAUACUGCCGGGCUAGAGUCCGGAAGAGGCGAGUGGAAUUCCUGGUGUAGCGGUGAAAUGCGCAGAUAUCAGGAGGAACACCGAUGGCGAAGGCAGCUCGCUGGGACGGUACUGACGCUGAGGCGCGAAAGCGUGGGGAGCAAACAGG
This 429-nucleotide ribosomal RNA is filed under the name uncultured bacterium. RNAcentral describes it as "bacterial SSU rRNA". It matches the Rfam family "Bacterial small subunit ribosomal RNA", at positions 355 to 776 of the family's 1533-position model. The record is from RNAcentral.